CACGUAGGGCGCAAGCGUUGUCCGGAAUUAUUGGGCGUAAAGAGCUCGUAGGCGGACUGUCACGUCUGCUGUGAAAAGCUAGGGCUUAACCCUGGCCUUGCAGUGGAUACGGGCAGACUAGAGGUAGGUAGGGGAGAAUGGAAUUCCCGGUGUAGCGGUGAAAUGCGUAGAUAUCGUAAGGAAGACCAGUGGCGAAGGCGGGUCUCUGGACAGUUCCUGACGCUGAGGCACGAAGGUCAGGGGAGCAAACGGG
Molecule: ribosomal RNA, 253 nt
Filed under: uncultured bacterium
Lineage: Bacteria
Description: partial 16S ribosomal RNA
Rfam family: Bacterial small subunit ribosomal RNA
Source: RNAcentral